AUUGAACGCUGGCGGCAUGCCUUACACAUGCAAGUCGAACGGUAACAGGUCUUCGGAUGCUGACGAGUGGCGAACGGGUGAGUAAUACAUCGGAACGUGCCUAGUAGUGGGGGAUAACUACUCGAAAGAGUGGCUAAUACCGCAUGAGAUCUACGGAUGAAAGCAGGGGAUCGCAAGACCUUGUGCUACUAGAGCGGCCGAUGGCAGAUUAGGUAGUUGGUGGGAUAAAAGCUUACCAAGCCGACGAUCUGUAGCUGGUCUGAGAGGACGAUCAGCCACACUGGGACUGAGACACGGCCCAGACUCCUACGGGAGGCAGCAGUGGGGAAUUUUGGACAAUGGGCGCAAGCCUGAUCCAGCAAUGCCGCGUGCAGGAAGAAGGCCUUCGGGUUGUAAACUGCUUUUGUACGGAACGAAACGGCCUGGGUUAAUACCCUGGGCUAAUGACGGUACCGUAAGAAUAAGCACCGGCUAACUACGUGCCAGCAGCCGCCGUAA
This 498-nucleotide ribosomal RNA is filed under the name uncultured bacterium. RNAcentral describes it as "partial 16S ribosomal RNA". It matches the Rfam family "Bacterial small subunit ribosomal RNA", at positions 30 to 523 of the family's 1533-position model. The record is from RNAcentral.